This 77-nucleotide transfer RNA is filed under the name Candidatus Bathyarchaeota archaeon. Its description in RNAcentral is "tRNA-Val". It matches the Rfam family "tRNA". Rfam says of the family: Transfer RNA (tRNA) molecules are approximately 80 nucleotides in length. Their secondary structure includes four short double-helical elements and three loops (D, anti-codon, and T loops). RNAcentral also lists the same sequence under 2 other names. Lineage: Archaea; Thermoproteati; Candidatus Bathyarchaeota. The record is from RNAcentral.
GGGCCGGUAGUCCAGCCUGGUAGGACGCUGCGUUCACACCGCAGAGGCCGUGAGUUCAAGUCUCACCCGGCCCACCA